Non-coding RNA from Triticum aestivum (bread wheat), 125 nucleotides. NCBI's taxonomy places the organism in Eukaryota, Viridiplantae, Streptophyta, Magnoliopsida, Poales, Poaceae. The record is from Rfam.
CUCAUACUCCCUCCGUCCGAAAAUACUCGUUGAAGGGAUGGAUGUAUCUAGACGUAUUUUAAUUCUAGAUACAUUCAUUUUUAUGCAUUUUUUCGACGAGUAUUUCCGGACGGAGCGAGUACUAU